UACGUAGGGUGCAAGCGUUAAUCGGAAUUACAGGGCGUAAAGCGUGCGCAGGCGGUUAUGCAAGACCGAUGUGAAAUCCCCGGGCUCAACCUGGGAACUGCAUUUGUGACUGUAUAGCUAGAGUACGGUAGAGGGGGAUGGAAUUCCGCGUGUAGCAGUGAAAUGCGUAGAUAUGCGGAGGAACACCGAUGGCGAAGGCAAUCCCCUGGACCUGUACUGACGCUCAUGCACGAAAGCGUGGGGAGCAAACAGG
This 253-nucleotide ribosomal RNA is filed under the name uncultured bacterium. RNAcentral describes it as "partial 16S ribosomal RNA". It matches the Rfam family "Bacterial small subunit ribosomal RNA", at positions 524 to 776 of the family's 1533-position model. The record is from RNAcentral.